This 413-nucleotide ribosomal RNA is filed under the name uncultured bacterium. Its description in RNAcentral is "bacterial SSU rRNA". It matches the Rfam family "Bacterial small subunit ribosomal RNA", at positions 505 to 916 of the family's 1533-position model. The record is from RNAcentral.
GUGUCAGCCGCCGCGGUAAUACGAAGGGUGCAAGCGUUACUCGGAAUUACUGGGCGUAAAGCGUGCGUAGGUGGUUGUUUAAGUCUGUCGUGAAAGCCCUGGGCUCAACCUGGGAAUUGCGAUGGAAACUGGGCAACUAGAGUGUGGCAGAGGAUAGUGGAAUUCCUGGUGUAGCAGUGAAAUGCGUAGAGAUCAGGAGGAACAUCCGUGGCGAAGGCGACUGUCUGGGCCAACACUGACACUGAGGCACGAAAGCGUGGGGAGCAAACAGGAUUAGAUACCCUGGUAGUCCACGCCCUAAACGAUGCGAACUGGAUGUUGGGUGCAAUUUGGCACGCAGUAUCGAAGCUAACGCGUUAAGUUCGCCGCCUGGGGAGUACGGUCGCAAGACUGAAACUCAAAUAAAUUGGCGG